This 460-nucleotide ribosomal RNA is filed under the name uncultured bacterium. RNAcentral describes it as "partial 16S ribosomal RNA". It matches the Rfam family "Bacterial small subunit ribosomal RNA", at positions 338 to 795 of the family's 1533-position model. The record is from RNAcentral.
CCUACGGGUGGCAGCAGUGAGGAAUAUUGGUCAAUGGGCGCGAGCCUGAACCAGCCAAGUAGCGUGAAGGAUGACUGCCCUACGGGUUGUAAACUUCUUUUAUAAAGGAAUAAAGUGAGUCACGUGUGCCUUUUUGUAUGUACUUUAUGUAUAAGGAACGGCUAACUCCGUGCCAUCAGCCGCGGUAAUACGGAGGAUCCGAGCGUUAUCCGGAUUUAUUGGGUUUAAAGGGAGCGUAGAUGGGUUGUUAAGUCAGUUGUGAAAGUUUGCGGCUCAACCGUAAAAUUGCAAUUGAUACUGGCAGUCUUGAGUACAGUUGAGGUAGGCGGAAUUCGUGGUGUAGCGGUGAAAUGCUUAGAUAUCACGAAGAACUCCGAUUGCGAAGGCAGCUUACUAAACUGCCACUGACAUUGAUGCUCGAAAGUGUGGGUAUCAAACAGGAUUAGAUACCCCUGUAGUC